This 380-nucleotide ribosomal RNA is filed under the name uncultured eukaryote. RNAcentral describes it as "partial 18S ribosomal RNA". It matches the Rfam family "Eukaryotic small subunit ribosomal RNA", at positions 592 to 976 of the family's 1831-position model. The record is from RNAcentral.
CAAUAGCGUAUAUUAAAGUUGUUGCAGUUAAAAAGCUCGUAGUUGGAUUUGUGGCGUACGGUGUGUUCCGGGCACUUGUUGUCUGAGUAACCUGCUGUUGCCAUCCUUGGGUGGAACCUGUGUGGCAUUAGGUUGUCGUGCAGGGGAUGCCCAUCAUUUACUGCGAAAAAAUUAGAGUGUUCAAAGCAGGCUUAUGCCGUUGAAUAUAUUAGCAUGGAAUAAUGAGAUAGGACUUUUUUGCUAUUUUGUUGGUUUGCGCAAAGAGGUAAUGAUUAAUAGGGACAGUUGGGGGUAUUCGUAUUCCAUUGUCAGAGGUGAAAUUCUUGGAUUUUUGGAAGACGAACUACUGCGAAAGCAUUUACCAAGGAUGUUUUCAUUAA